GCUGGCGUAGCUCAAUUGGUAGAGCAGCUGACUUGUAAUCAGCAGGUUAUCGGUUCAAGUCCGAUCGCCAGCUCCA
RNAcentral lists this transfer RNA (76 nucleotides) under Thermohalobacter berrensis. RNAcentral's name for it is "tRNA-Thr". It matches the Rfam family "tRNA". From Rfam's summary of the family: Transfer RNA (tRNA) molecules are approximately 80 nucleotides in length. Their secondary structure includes four short double-helical elements and three loops (D, anti-codon, and T loops). Lineage: Bacteria; Bacillati; Bacillota; Tissierellia; Tissierellales; Thermohalobacteraceae. RNAcentral also lists the same sequence under 1 other name. The record is from RNAcentral.